GUUUUCUUAAAAUCUGGUAUAUUCAGAGAAGUGUACAUAAAAAAAGUGAUUUUUUUUUUACGAAUGCCUACUUUGAUUAAUCAGUGAGCGAUUAACCUCUAUUAAGGAGGUUAUUAUCACAUAUAGAUUUUCAAUAUUAUUAAUUUUUUUAAAUAACAUAGAAGUUAAUAUGGAUAUUGGAUUUUCAUCAUACCACAAUGGUGGUCCUACAAGAGAACAAGAUUUUGGUAGGCUAUCUCAGACCAUUGGUACAUCUAUUUUGAAGAUAUCUCAAAAUGUGUCUUCUAUGCAAAAAAUGGUCAAUCAAUUGGGCAGCUCUACAGAUUCUCAAGAACUACGAAAUCAAUUACAUCAAAUACAACAUUACACACAACAGCUGGCAAAAGAUACUAGUGUACAUCUUCGAGAUUUAGCUAUAUUAUCUAAUAAUUCAGGAUCUACUAGUCCUGGAGAACAAAGACAACGUAAGAUGCAAAGAGAACGUCUACAAGAUGAAUUUACAAGUGCAUUAAAUUCUUUUCAAGCAGUGCAAAGACUUGCAGCCUCCAAAGAGAAAGAAAUGGUUAGAAGAGCCAAAGCAAGUGCAGGUAUUACUCCAUUUGGAGAAAAAAAACAAGAGACAUUAAUAGAGUUACAAGAUAGCAGAACUCAGAAACAAAUUCAGCAACAACAAUUACAAGAAGAACAAAAUUUGCGAAUGUUGGAAGAACAGGAAGCAAGUAUAAGACAGUUGGAGAAUAAUAUUAGUGAUAUCAAUCAAAUUUUCAAAGAUCUUGGUACUAUAGUAUAUAAUCAAGGAGAAGUUAUUGAUUCCAUAGAAGCAUCUGUUGAAAGAACAGAAGUAUCAGUCAAUGAAGCUACUUCACAUGUUAGACAAGCAAGUAUAUAUCAAAAUAAAUUACGCAAGAAAAAAUGUAUAUUAGCUCUCAUUGGAGCGAUUGUAUUAUUUAUAUUAAUUGGAAUCAUUGCUUGGCAAAGUUCUUAAAUAUUUUAUAAAAUGGAUAUAAUGAUAAAGAUAUAGUUGCAUUUUAAUUGCAAGAUACCAUAUUGGUAUAUAUAUAUUUCUUGAGAAAAA
Molecule: unclassified non-coding RNA, 1075 nt
Filed under: Apis florea (little honeybee)
Lineage: Eukaryota; Metazoa; Arthropoda; Insecta; Hymenoptera; Apidae
Description: syntaxin-7, transcript variant X4
Source: RNAcentral